UGCGAAACUCGAAUGAACGAACGGGGAGAUUCAUCGUUAUUCGCGGGCGUGUCUGCGCGCAUUCGAUACCUUCGACCUCGGUCGUGGGGUACUAUGCGCGCGGUGCGACGUUCCGCGACGGCGUGCACUUCUCCCUUAGUAAUGCAUCGCGACCCGUUCGAUGUCGGUCUAAGCUCCGUUCGGGAGUCAGUGUCGCUCGCCCCUCGGGGUAGCGGCGGUGACCGUGACGGUAGCCGACCGGCCGUCGGACGGUACAACAGCGGUACGCGCACGCGUUAACGCGCGUCCGGCCCGACGCAAGGUUGCGUCGUCUCACUCCCGUUCUGCCCGAGUGCGGGCGGGGGUGCGGCGCGCCUGUCGUCGCUGCCGUGCUGUCUCGGACUGUGCGCGUCCCUUGUCUGC
Molecule: ribosomal RNA, 402 nt
Filed under: Erateina nr. punsara EO-2016
Lineage: Eukaryota; Metazoa; Arthropoda; Insecta; Lepidoptera; Geometridae
Description: eukaryotic LSU rRNA
Source: RNAcentral